GACGAACGCUGGCGGCCUGUCUAAUACAUGCAAGUCGAACGCAUUUUCUUUCACCGUAGCUUGCUACACCGAAAGAAAAUGAGUGGCGAACGGGUGAGUAACACGUGGGUAACCUGCCUCAUAGAGUGGAAUAGCCUUCCGAAAGGAAGAUUAAUACCGCAUAAGGGUGAGGGAUGGCAUCAUCAUUCAACCAAAGGAGCAAUCCGCUAUGAGAUGGACCCGCGGCGCAUUAGCUAGUUGGUGGGGUAACGGCCUACCAAGGCGACGAUGCGUAGCCGACCUGAGAGGGUGAUCGGCCACAUUGGGACUGAGACACGGCCCAGACUCCUACGGGAGGCAGCAGUGGGGAAUAUUGCACAAUGGGGGAAACCCUGAUGCAGCAACGCCGCGUGAGUGAUGAAGGUUUUCGGAUCGUAAAGCUCUGUCUUUGGGGAAGAUAAUGACGGUACCCAAGGAGGAAGCCACGGCUAACUACGUGCCAGCAGCCGCGGUAAUACGUAGGUGGCGAGCGUUAUCCGGAUUUACUGGGCGUAAAGGGAGCGUAGGCGGAUGAUUAAGUGGGAUGUGAAAUACCCGGGCUCAACUUGGGUGCUGCAUUCCAAACUGGUUAUCUAGAGUGCAGGAGAGGAGAGUGGAAUUCCUAGUGUAGCGGUGAAAUGCGUAGAGAUUAGGAAGAACACCAGUGGCGAAGGCGACUCUCUGGACUGUAACUGACGCUGAGGCUCGAAAGCGUGNGGAGCAAACAGG
This 747-nucleotide ribosomal RNA is filed under the name uncultured bacterium. RNAcentral's name for it is "bacterial SSU rRNA". It matches the Rfam family "Bacterial small subunit ribosomal RNA", at positions 28 to 776 of the family's 1533-position model. The record is from RNAcentral.